UCUCCGUAGGUGAACCUGCGGAGGGAUCACUACAGGCUUGCAAAAGCUCUGAAACCACUGUUUAUCUACCUGAAUCUGCUUCGGCGGGCCGCCCCAGGGCGGGUCCGUUGCCGCAAGACGACCACCGAAGCUCCCUCACCUCUAUAGUCUUGAGAAUCUCUGAGUAACAUUUUAAACAAAAAAAAAACUUUCAACAACGGAUCUCUUGGCUCUG
Molecule: unclassified non-coding RNA, 214 nt
Filed under: plant metagenome
Description: partial contains small subunit ribosomal RNA, internal transcribed spacer 1, and 5.8S ribosomal RNA
Source: RNAcentral